GCAGGCGUGACGGAGUGGCCAAACGUGACAGACUCAAGGCCUACGAUGAAAAUCUGUUGUCUUCCAAUUCAUAGGAAUUGGUGAGAUAUCUGUUGGCUUAGUGCCUACGCAGGUUCGAAUCCUGCCGCCUGCA
RNAcentral lists this transfer RNA (133 nucleotides) under Candidatus Woesearchaeota archaeon. RNAcentral describes it as "tRNA-Leu". It matches the Rfam family "tRNA". From Rfam's summary of the family: Transfer RNA (tRNA) molecules are approximately 80 nucleotides in length. Their secondary structure includes four short double-helical elements and three loops (D, anti-codon, and T loops). Lineage: Archaea; Nanobdellati; Candidatus Woesearchaeota. The record is from RNAcentral.